Molecule: ribosomal RNA, 253 nt
Filed under: uncultured bacterium
Lineage: Bacteria
Description: partial 16S ribosomal RNA
Rfam family: Bacterial small subunit ribosomal RNA
Source: RNAcentral
UACGAAGGGGGCUAGCGUUGCUCGGAAUCACUGGGCGUAAAGCGCACGUAGGCGGUCUUUUAAGUCAGGGGUGAAAUCCUGGAGCUCAACUCCAGAACUGCCUUUGAUACUGAAAGACUUGAGUCCGGGAGAGGUGAGUGGAACUGCGAGUGUAGAGGUGAAAUUCGUAGAUAUUCGCAAGAACACCAGUGGCGAAGGCGGCUCACUGGCCCGGUACUGACGCUGAGGUGCGAAAGCGUGGGGAGCAAACAGG